This 253-nucleotide ribosomal RNA is filed under the name uncultured bacterium. RNAcentral describes it as "partial 16S ribosomal RNA". It matches the Rfam family "Bacterial small subunit ribosomal RNA", at positions 524 to 776 of the family's 1533-position model. The record is from RNAcentral.
UACGUAGGUGGCACGCGUUGUCCGGAUUUACUGGGCGUAAAGAGCGCGCAGGCGGUCGUGCAAGUCGCGUGUGAAAGCCCCCGGCUCAACUGGGGAGGGUCACGCGAUACUGCUCGACUUGAAGGCAGGAGAGGGAAGUGGAAUUCCCGGUGUAGUGGUGAAAUGCGUAGAUAUCGGGAGGAACACCAGUGGCGAAGGCGACUUCCUGGCCUGUUCUUGACGCUGAGGCGCGAAAGCUAGGGUAGCAAACGGG